AAUGCAAAUCGAGCCUGAACCUUGAAACACAAAGGCAUCUGCUUGCAUUCUGGAGAAUUUCGAGUGAUUUCCUCUCCUUGUUUUCCCCGCUGUCGAGCAGCAGGAUCCAGUGAUACCAGCUGUGCUCCCCGAGCGGCUGGGCGAGAGCCUGUGCGCUAAGAAAUGGGCUGAGUCGCUCCAGUGCAAAUGUAUUGCAAAAACACCAGUAGCAAGAAGUUAAGUCAAACCGCAGGCUGUGUGUUUUGCGCUUGCUUUUUUUCUCUCCUUCCAUCUUGUCUUUGCCUCUCCUCCUGCCUCUGAUUUGUCCAAAGGACUUCUGUCUUUCUGCUGCUGUUUCACAUGUAGUUCCCCCUCCCUUCCUUUGCAAAGCACCUUCUCCUUCCCCUUGUUGCGUCCUGUCUUUCCUUUGCCCCACUUUGAAUGGUCGGCCCCCCUGUUUUACCUCCCAUGGUAGUUGGCCUCCUGCCUCCUUUUCUUCUGUCCACUACGAGCCAGACUCUGUUCCACAUAUUCGGUGUAUUUGGGCACCUAGGUGGGGUUGUGUGCCACCCUGCUGCAGUUGGGUGGGCCCUCUUCCGCCUCCUUGCUUUUUUGUGACAGCUCAUCAUGUAGAUGGGGCUGAAUGGAGACUAGGGGCAGAUGGACUGAAUGGGGAUAGUGAGGUCGGGUAAAUGCAUUUGGGGGGACAGAAUCACCUGGGAAGAUAGAGGGUGAAAUCAUAGCCCCAGGGAAAUCAAUGCCAAAACUUCAGUUCAUUUCCAUGGGACUGGUUCUCCCAGAAUCAGGUGCCGGAGGAAAAGUGGGGCAAGCUCGCCAUUGCUGGAGGAAAAUGGUAGUCCUGCGGCUAGCAAAUGAAGUGGGAAAUAAGCUCUCUGCAGUUGCAGAUAGGUGUGGGAAUAGGUCUACGUGGAUGGACUUUCCCCUCACCGUUGUGUUGGGGGAUUGGGAGAAGACGCACUUGGGAUUUUACAGAGAAAUAGCUCUUGGGAGAUAGGAGAUAGGUAGGGGACGCGGUUAGUAGAGAGAAAGCUGCCAGCAUCACAGGGAGACCUCUAGGACUUUAAAUACACAUUCAAAUUUCUGGGCAACCCACGUGAACUCCAGAUCUGAACUUAUAGGUGGGGAGUGGUAGGAGCCUAGAUCCUCUUCAUCUGUCCCUACACUACAUACUACCACCAAACACCUUAUGGCAUUAUAGGGAACUCAUUUACCUGGGAGUUUCUGCAUGUCCUAUUGAACACCCAGAGGACAACAUAAUAUCCUAGGAAGGAGAAAAAGGCUGGGUUGAGGAGGACAGCAUCUCCAAGGAGGAGGAGAGGAAAUGGCAGGAAAUAUAAAGAAAAUCUCUGGUGUACGCCUCUGUCCUUAGAGGGUCACAAGGGAGGAGCCCUUCUGUAUGCACAGCAGUCCAGUAUCUUGUAUCUGACCCUGGCCAGCAGAAGAUGACCCAGAACAGAUGGUCUAACACAGAGGUGACCAACCUGAAGCACAUGUGCCAAGUGACAUGGCUAUCCUCUAUGUGGCACAUGGCAGAUUGGGGAUGGGGCAGGCAGCACAUUGGCAGAUGGGGCAGGGAGCAGAAAGCAGAGCAGCAGAUCAGGCAGGGAGCAGAAAGAGGAACACAGCUCUCUUGGGCUAGGGACAGAAGUUGCACAUAAACUGGUUUAAGGGAUCGAAAACUGGUUUAAACCUGUAACAGAACAGGACCUCAGUGCACAUAAACCAGUUUCAAAAUGGCCGAAACUGAUUUAAGAUAAACCUGAUUGAAUGUAGUAUCAGACUUAACUGAUCUGGGUCAAACCGGUUUAUGAAACUUCUGCCCCAGACCCCUUCCUGGUUCAAGUUAAACCACAGUCCCCCAGCAUCCCAGCAUGCUUUGCAGCCCUGUGCUGGGCUGGGCUGUCUGUUCCAGAGAGUAGGGUUGGCCCCGCCCCUCUGCUCCCUAUCUUAAGCAGUGAGGGCUGGUUGACAAGGAGGAGCAGGCCCAGUUGGGGAUGUAGCCCAGUCUGCAAGCGGCAGAGAUUGUCCCCCCAGACAAAUCCCAGCUAGGGUCUGGGGCCAGAGGGAGUUAAACACCCUUUCCCCUGCUCAAACUUACCGCUGGCUGUAACUGUGGACUACAAAUCCCAGAGGCACCUGGAAACAAGAAAAGGAAGUGAUGAGCAAUCCUGCAGAGUCUUGCUCUUGUGCUUGUGGACUGCAAAUCCCAGAAACCUUGGGGGCAGCAGGAAGAGGAAGUGAACGCAUAGCUCAUGCUGGAUGCUGCUAGAGAGUCAUGCUCUAGCGUCCCUCAGCUUCUGGUCUGAGCCACUGCAGGCAUAUGGCUGCAUUUGCUGAAUCAAAGAUGGUGAUGAUAAAUGCUCGGUUUCCCUUCCCUGUAGUAUUCAUUCUACAGCCUCAGCCUUAUGGAAGAGCACUAUACUCAGACUUAAAAACCACCCUGAUGACCUCACACAACAGGCUGAUAAGGGGAGUGCCGCUGGUGUCGUGAACAAGACAGCAUAUGUACAGGAAGCUAAGAAACAUCUUUCCAGAGUUUAACAUACCCCUGACCAAAGACCCCAUGUAACACUACCAUAGGAAAGCUCUUAAAGAUGAACACCUUCAAAAACACAGGCGAGGAUUUAUGCUUCCAUCUUCUGGGCACCCAAGUCGGACACAUUUUACUUAUUACCCAAGGUCCACAAACCUGGGAACCCAGGACACCCCCUUGUCUCUGCCCUUGGCAUCAUCACGGAAAGAGUUUCUGGCUAUGUUGACAUACAUUCCCAUAUGCCAGUGGAGCUGCCAGUUGUUUGGAGGACACCACAUUUCCUAAAGAAACUAGGCUCCGCUGACAAACUUCCAGCAACCACCACAUUAGCUAUCCUGUAUGUCACAUCCUUGUACACCAGCAUUCUCUACGAGGAUGGGUCACAUCAUCCCUGAUGAUGACACUACCUCUGUUUCCAUCAUGCUCGUCUGCUUUAUACCUGCUAUUGUGGUUCAGUGGUAGACUCCUUAUCUGCACGUGGGAGAUCUGGGUUUUAUUCCCACAUUGCAUAUAACUACAGCUAUCGAGGCACCAAAUGUCUGGACUUGGUCUGACCUUUGGAUGGUGUCUAAAGCGGGGAUGGAAGGUCUGGGCAGCCUCCAUUCCUCCAUGCUCCUUCCUAGGUGCAUGUGGCAAAGGUCUUGGUGACCUCUUAUGCAUACACCAUGAUCCAGAAGAAUUGCCUACUACCAUGGCUUUAUCCUCACAUGCAACUAUUUUAUUACCGGUGGCUCCCUAUACCUAUAAAUGAACAGCACUCUCACGGGCGCAUGCAUGGCCUCCCCAUAUGCCAAUAUACUUAUGAUGGACUUUGGAGGCUGCUGUCUCUGCAGCUGCUCUUUCAUCUCCACCCAGCAUAUUCCUUUUUUUGGACACCAGUGGGAAACUUCUCAGUGGUCACAUCAUCAGCACAUUGUAUUGGAAACCAACUGACUGCUACAGUUAUCUCCACGUCAAUAGUUUUCAUCCUAAACCCACCAUUAGAUCCAUCAUCUACAGCCAAGCUGUGUUACAACUGUAUCUGGAUCCCACCAACCCAGGUUGUACACUUUAGGAAUCUGGAUCAGGGAUUCCUACACUUACAACACACAGUGGCUUCAUCCUGAGCCUUUGCUGGGAAGGGUGGCAUAUAAAUCAUAUAAAUAAAUAACCCUGAUCAUAUAUAUAUAUAUAUAUGUGUGUGUAUGAAUGUGGUUUUUGAUCAUGUACUUUGGUACUACAGCUCUGAUUCACUGUGGAUUUGCAUGCUGCCUUUUGGCAUGCAGGUUAAAAAGGUUACGGGCUUGUUUUGUGCCUCUGCUUUAAUUUGUAUCGCAAAAGAGUUAUGUGGGGGACCAGAAGGGAUGGCAAUGGGAGAAGCAGGCCCCUGAGAGGCAGAGAAGGGGUGGGAGAAAAUCUGGGUUGUGACCAAGGAGCCCGGAGAGCCCAGGAAGACUUCAGACUGGAGUUGACCUUUGAUGGCAUUCCCUCUGAGACUGGUAAACCAUCAAUAGUGUAGGACAGCUGAAGUCAUCUUGCAGGGCUGAAUCCUGAUGAGGGUGACAGCCCUGUCCCUGAGUGGCCAGAGACUGGUGCUUCCCUGGGGCUGGCAAGUCCCAGCGAUGUACUUAGAGUGACCAUCCAGAGAGCACCAAGCAGCAAUGUAGGUGCCACCGCUCUGGUCUCCAAAGUAAGUGGCAGGUGGGAGCUCCAGCAGCACUCACCGAGUGGCAGUGAUCACAACUGGAUCUUCCUAAAGGAGAGGUAGGCAGUGACGCACAAUCUUUCCCAGCAAAGCGGUGCCUAGCACAGCAGCAGAGUGGGCCAGAAAGAGAGACAAGUGUAGGUUAUGAGAAGAUUAGGCUCUAAAAGGAGCCGCUGCUUGAACAGCCUGUCCCCUGAUACAACUCCUAAAACAUCCUUACCGGGGUUCAGGAAGUACCAUAGAAAAGUACAGUUGGAAGGGAUCUCAGGUCGUCUAGUCCGACCUCUUGCUCAAGGCAGGCUCAUCCCUGUCUAAACUUUUUACAGAAAUAUUUGUCUAAUCUGCUCUUAAAAACUUCCAAGGAUGGCGAAUCCACCACUUCUCUAGGUUGACAACCUAUUGAAAAAAAUGUCAGUUUUAAAAAACCACAAGCCCUGAGGCUGAAGCUGGACCAGGGCCCAGCAACAGAAGUCGGGUUCGUUUUGGAGCAUUCAGCUUAAUAUUCAAUCCCAGUCCAUUAAGUUAAGGGACGAUGUAAAUGUGCGUGUUUGAAGUGUACUUCCCCUGAGCUGUAUUUGUCUUUACUUUAGCUGUUGCUUUUAUUUACCAGGGGUGGGCAAUUAUUUCGGCUGGAGGGCCGCUUAAUGAGUUUUGGCGAGCUGUCGAGGGCCGCAAGGAUAGCCCUGCCCCUUGACAGGUGCCCUGCUCCCUGGUCACCAUCUUGGGACCCCCUUACUUUUGCCACCAGAAGGCCCACCCUUGCCCUGAGAAGUACUCCUUUUGGGAAGGGGGUUUGCCAUGUUGAAACAGGGAGAAAAAAACCAAAUUACAUACUAAAAAUCAAACCCCGACAAAAACAUAUUUUAAUAAGGACUCUGUUCCAGUGCUGAACCACCCUCGGAGUUAAAAAGUGCUUCCCCUUAUUCUCCAUAUUUUUUUCAUGUCACUUCAAGUUUGUGCUCCUGCUGGGAAUGAUUUACAGCGAUUAACAGCAAGAUCACAUCAGGGCUGGGAGUGAUGGAUAGGAAAGCUGAGAUCGCACUGGGAUGGAGUUCAUCAUGAGAUGCUUCUAGCAGAAAGCGCCCCCGUCAUUUGUGUUGGGUUUGCAAGUUUGUUUGAUGACACUCCCCUCCUGAACUUCUCCCUGACAUUUCAGCCUUGUGUUUCAGGUCGGAAGGAGGCGCUGGAAAUGAAAGCAGUUUUAAUAACACUCUGCACCUUCUCAUCCGCUCGCACAAGUUGCAGAGCAUUGCAUGGUGUCGGAAUAAUGGGCAUCCACUGACCAUGGCAGAGGUAUGGAUGUGACUUGUUUCCCUGCACCCAGAAGGUGUGGGGAGUCCAGCAACCUCCCAGAAAUAUGGCUGGGAUGUGAGCUAUGCCUUCGGACCGGUUUCCCCUCAGAAGGUGGAUUCACAUGGGAAAAACAUAAGUAACUUCCAUUUCAUUAAGCAUUGGUGCAAAGUUUUUCUUUGGCUCAGGUAUUAGAAGCCUGGUCUAGCUCAAACUAAAGGCUUGUUUUCUGGUAUCAGCUUUGCAAACAUGUGCUCAGACUACUAAUAAACGUGCCUUGCUUACAGCAA
Molecule: long non-coding RNA, 5797 nt
Organism: Alligator mississippiensis (American alligator)
Lineage: Eukaryota; Metazoa; Chordata; Crocodylia; Alligatoridae
Exons: 2
Source: RefSeq, a predicted model, not a curated record